RNAcentral lists this ribosomal RNA (253 nucleotides) under uncultured bacterium. RNAcentral's name for it is "partial 16S ribosomal RNA". It matches the Rfam family "Bacterial small subunit ribosomal RNA", at positions 524 to 776 of the family's 1533-position model. The record is from RNAcentral.
UACAGAGGGGGCAAGCGUUAUUCGGAAUUAUUGGGCGUAAAGGGCGCGUAGGCGGCCUGGCAAGUGGAAGGUGAAAUCCCUCGGCUUAACCGAGGAACUGCCCUCCAAACUGCUUGGCUUGAGUCCGGGAGAGGUGAGUGGAAUUCCCAGUGUAGCGGUGAAAUGCGUAGAUAUCGGGAGGAACACCUGUGGCGAAAGCGGCGCACUGGACCACAACUGACGCUGAGGCGCGAAAGCUAGGGGAGCAAACAGG